GAACAAGCAAGAGAUGGCAAUUCCAGACAUAAAGAAACCAUGCUCUUCGCCAAAGCAAGCAGCUCAAGGAAUUGGAUGGCUGAUUGUAAUGGACUUCAAGAGUGUGCACAAAUACUAUCAAAUAACUCCAAUAGCAGAGACUGUUUGAGCACAGGAUGUGGAUUACAAGCUGUUGGUUCAAAGAGAAAACAACCUGGUAUUGAACAGGCAGAUAACGGCAACAUCAAUCUGAUAGGAGCACAAUAUAAUGCUAUGCAAGCAUACUGCCUAGACUACGGUGUUCAAUUUCCAAAUGUUCAGAAGAAAAGGAGAACUGAAAAUGGGAGAAUUUCGAAGACACCACGUAAAUCUUCUGUGACUGACCUAAAAGAUGUACGACUGGCAACUUUCGUAUCACAUCCUUAUGUGUCAAGUCACAACAGCUGGUAUUCUGGUUCAGAAUAUAAUGCAGCAGGACUCCCAGAAAGAGCUAUUCAUGAUAAACUUCAACCCCUUGAGUGCACCUUGUCUUU
Molecule: long non-coding RNA, 512 nt
Filed under: Phaseolus vulgaris (common bean)
Lineage: Eukaryota; Viridiplantae; Streptophyta; Magnoliopsida; Fabales; Fabaceae
Description: long non-coding RNA (PVUL_LNC005225)
Source: RNAcentral